GCCCGGAUGGCGAAACUGGUAGACGCAAGGGACUUAAAAUCCCUCGGUGGCAACACCGUGCCGGUUCGAUUCCGGCUCCGGGCACCA
Molecule: transfer RNA, 87 nt
Filed under: Pseudomonas sp. MYb185
Lineage: Bacteria; Pseudomonadati; Pseudomonadota; Gammaproteobacteria; Pseudomonadales; Pseudomonadaceae
Also listed under: 3 other names
Description: tRNA-Leu
Rfam family: tRNA
About the family: Transfer RNA (tRNA) molecules are approximately 80 nucleotides in length. Their secondary structure includes four short double-helical elements and three loops (D, anti-codon, and T loops).
Source: RNAcentral